GAUUCUCCAAUCUCCAUAUAAGUAUCUAAAGCAUUCAUUAAUUGGUGACAAUCAGACAUUUUAAUAGAAGGAUAUAAAACUGCACCAAUUAAGUAAACUGGAGGAAUUGGAAAGAAAUAUUUUUUGAAUUUCGCUUCCAUACUUACAAUAACAUCCAUAUAUUUUUCUUUCUUCUUAAAUUCAUAUAGUAGCAAAGAAAUUUCAGCUAUAUGUACUAAUGCCGUAGUAACAGUUGGG
This 237-nucleotide long non-coding RNA is filed under the name Nicotiana benthamiana. Its description in RNAcentral is "long non-coding RNA (NBEN_LNC011175)". The record is from RNAcentral. Lineage: Eukaryota; Viridiplantae; Streptophyta; Magnoliopsida; Solanales; Solanaceae.